ACCUUUAUAUCCAGGGCUACACACACGCUACAAUGGUCUGUACAAUGGGUAGCCAAGCCGCGAGGCGGAGCCAAUCCUGAAAGCAGGCCUCAGUUCAAGAUUGCAGUCUGGCAACUCGACUGCAUGAAGCCGGAGUUGCUAGUAACCGCAGGUCAGCAAUACUGCGGUGAAUACGUUCCCGGGUCUU
Molecule: ribosomal RNA, 187 nt
Filed under: uncultured Anaerolineaceae bacterium
Lineage: Bacteria; Bacillati; Chloroflexota; Anaerolineae; Anaerolineales; Anaerolineaceae
Description: partial 16S ribosomal RNA
Rfam family: Bacterial small subunit ribosomal RNA
Source: RNAcentral